Crotalus tigris (Tiger rattlesnake) is the source of this 271-nucleotide long non-coding RNA. RefSeq lists it as uncharacterized. The transcript has 3 exons. Lineage: Eukaryota; Metazoa; Chordata; Lepidosauria; Squamata; Viperidae. The record is from RefSeq and is a predicted model, not a curated record.
CUCUAUAGAUUCGAGUCAUUUCCGCUUCCGGGGGCGAAGCUGCGACUUUGGCGCAGGGUGAGGGCGCUCCUUUCACAGAGGAAAAAAAAUCUUCAUUCACUGUGCUUGGGGAAAAAGAGAGCAUCCAUUUUGACAUCUCUCAAGGUCCUGCUCUCACUGGGAGAAAAGCAGGAUGUGGCAUGAAGCCAGAAAACAUGAGCGAAAGCUGCGGGGGAUGAUGGUGGAUUAUAAGAAAAGAGCAGAACGUCGGAGAGAGUAUUACGAAAAGAUA